UUAAAACUUAUAUUAAGCAUACUGAUACUUUUAUGAUUAUUUUAAUGGAAUGAUUUCUCCAAGAUGAGAGGAAAUAAACUAGGAGUACAUUGUACAAGGGACAGUUUUAUGAAGUACUAAACCCAAAGCAUCUGACUGGAGAUGUGUUGUGGUGUUUGUCCAAAGGAGUUUAUAAAGAGCUCAAUACUUUCUGAUUGCAGAAAACACAAUUUACCACAUUUUGAGAGCUAGCUAUGUGCAAGCCUCUGUGUAUUGGAGUUAGUAGAUUAGCACCAAGGGAAAAAAUUUAUGGAAAUUGAGGAUUAGACUCCUUUUUGAGGGAGCUUACAGUGUUAUUUUGAAGACAAAAUAAAUACAUAAAGAGUUAAAUAUCAGAUGUGAUAAAGCAGUAAAAGUUUAAUUGUCAAAUUAUGGCAGAUGGAACGCAGCCCCACCCAUCAGCAGACAAGCGGAUUAAAGUUUUACUGAGCUCUGCCCACCAGAGCAACACCCAGCUCUACCCACCACCAGUCCCUCCAAUCAGGAAACUUGCACAAGCCUCUUAGAUAGCCUCAUCCACCAGAGAACAGACAACAGAAGCAAGAAGAACUACAAUUCUGCAGCCUGUGGAAGGAGAACCACAUUCACAGAAAGAUAGACAAAAUGAAAAGGCAGAGGACUUUUUCCCAGAUGAAGGAACAAGAUAAAACCCCAGAAAACCAACUAAAUGAAGUGGAGAUAGGCAACCUUCCAGAAAAAGAAUUCAGAAUAAUGAUAGUGAAGGUGAUCCAGGACCUCAGAAAAAGAAUGGAAGCAAAGAUUGAGAAGAUGCAAGAAAUGUUUAACAAACACCUAGAAGAAUUAAAGAACAAAGAAACAGAGAUGAACAAUACAAUAACUGAAGUGAAAAAUACACUAGAAGGAAUCAGUAGCAGAAUAACUGAGGCAGAAGAACGGAUAAGUGACCUGGAAGACAGAAUGGUGGGUUGACUGCCACGGAACAGAAUAAAGAAAAAAGAAUGAAAAGAAAGGAAGACAGCCUAAGAGACCUCUGGGACAACAUUAAACGCAACAACAUUCACAUUAUAGGGGCCCCAGAACAAGAAGAGAGAGAAAAAGGACCCAAGAAAAUAUUUGAAGAGAUUAUAGUCGAAAACUUCCCUAACACGGGAAAGGAAAUAGCCACCCAACUUCAGGAGGCACAGAGAGUCCCAGGCAGGAUAAACCCAAGGAGAAACACGCCGAGACACAUAGUAAUCAAAUUGGCAAAAAUUAAAGACAAAGAAAAAUUACUGAAAGCAACAAGGGAAAAACGACAUAUAACAUACAAAGGAACUCCCAUAAGGUUAACAGCUGAUUUCUCAGCAGAAACUCUACAAGCCAGAAGGGAGUGGCAUGACAUAUUUAAAGUGAUGAAAGGAAAGAACCUACAACCAAGAUUACCUUGCAAGGAUCUCAUUCAGAUUCAACGGAGAAAUCAAAAGCUUUACAGACAAGCAAAAGCUAAGAAUUCACCACCACAAAACCAGCUCUACAACAAAUGCUAAAGGAACUUCUCUAAGUGGGAAACACAGAGAAGAAAAGGACCUACAAAAACAAACCCAUAACAAUUAAGAAAACGGUAAUAGGAACAUACAUAUCGAUAAUUACCUUAAACAUGAAUGGAUUAAAUGCUCCAACCAAAAGACACAGGCUUGCUGAAUGGAUACAAAAACAAGACCCAUAUAUAUGCUGUUUACAAGAGACCCACUUCAGACCUAGGGACACAUACAGACUGAAAGUGAAGGGAUGGAAAAAGAUAUUCCAUGCAAAUGGAAAUCAAAAGAAAGCUGGAGUAGCAAUACUCAUAUCAGGUAAAAUAGACUUUAAAAUAAAGAACGUUAUAAGAGACAAGGAAGGACACUAUGUAAUGAUCAAGGGAUCAAUCCAAGAAGAAGAUAUAACAAUUAUAAGUACGUAUGCGCCCAACAUAGGAGCACCUCAGUACAUUAGGCAAUUGCUAACCGCUAUAAAAGAGGAAAUCGACAGUAACACAAUAAUAGUGGGGGACUUCCUAACACCUCACUUACACCAAUGGACAGAUCAUCCAGACAGAAAAUUAAUAAGGAAACACAAGCUUUAAAUGACACAAUAGACCAGAUAGAUUUAAUUAAUAUUUUUAGGACAUUCCAUCCAAUAACAGUAGAUUACACUUUCUUCUUAAGUGCCCAUGGAACAUUCUCCAGGAUAGAUCACAUACUGGGUCACAAAUCAAGCCUCAGUAAAUUUAAGAAAAUUGAAAUCCUAUCAAGCAUCUUUUCUGACCACAAUGCUAUGAGAUUAGAAAUCAAUUACAGGGAAAAAAACGUUAAGAACACAAACACAUGGAGGCUAAACAAUAUGUUACUAAAUAACCAAGAGAUCACUGAAGAAAUCAAAGAGGAAAUCAAAAAAUACCUAAAGACUAAUGACAACAAAAACACGACGAUCCAAAACCUAUGGGAUGCAGCAAAAGCAGUUCUAAGAGGGAAGUUUAUAGCGAUACAAGCCUACCUCAAGAAACAAGAAAAAUCUCAAAUAAACAAUCUAACCUUACACCUAAAGGAACUAGAGAAACAAGAACAAACAAAACCCAAAGUUAGUAGAAGGAAAGAAAUCAUAAAGAUCAGAGCAGAAAUAAAUGAAAUAGAAACAAAGAAAACAAUAGCAAAGAUCAAUAAAACUAAAAGCUAGUUCCUUGAGAAGAUAAAAUUGAUAAACCGUGAGCCAAACUCAUCAAGAAAAAGAGGGAGAGGACUCAAAUCAAUAAAAUUAGAAAUGAAAAAGGAGAAGUUACAGUAGACACCGCAGAAAUACAAAGCAUCCUAAGAGACUGCUACAAGCAACUCUAUGCCAAUAAAAUGGACAACCUGGAAGAAAUGGACAAAUUCUUAGAAAGGUACAAUCUCCCAAGACUGAACCAGGAAGAAAUAGAAAAUAUGAACAGACCAGUCACAAGUAAUGAAAUUGAAACUGUGAUUAAAAAUCUUCCAACAAACAAAAGUCCAGGACCACAUGGCUUCACAGGUGAAUUCUAUCAAACACUUAGAGAAGAGCUAACACCCAUCCUUCUCAAACUCUUCCAAACAAUUUCAGAGGGAGGAGCACUCCCAAACUCAUUCUAUGAGGCCACCAUCACCCUGAUACCAAAACCAGACAAAGAUACUACAAAAAAAGAAAAUUACAGACCAAUACCACUGAUGAAUAUAGAUGCAAAAAUCCUCAACAAAAUACUAGCAAACAGACUACAACAACACAUUAAAAGGAUCAUACACCAUGAUCAAGUGGGAUUUAUCCCAGGGAUGCAAGGAUUCUUCAAUAUAUGCAAAUCAAUCAGUGUGAUACACCAUAUUAACAAAUUGAAGAAUAAAAACCAUAUGAUCAUCUCAGUAGAUGCAGAAAAAGCUUUUGACAAUAUUCAACACCCAUUUAUGAUAAAAACUCUCCAAAACGUGGGCAUAGAGGGAACCUUCCUCAACAUAAUAAAGGCCAUAUAUUACAAACCCACAGCAAACAUCAUUCUCAAUGGUGAAAAACUGAAAGUAUUUCCUCUAAGAUCAGGAACAAGACAAGGAUGUCCACUCUCACCUCUAUUAUUCACCAUGGUUUUGGAAGUCCUAGCCAUGGCAAUCAGAGAAGAAAAAGAAAUAAAAGGAAUACAAAUUGGAACAGAAGAAGUAAAACUGUCACUGUUUGCAGAUGACAUGAUACUAUACAUAGAUAAUCCUAAAGAUGCCACCAGAAAACUACUGGAGCUAAUCAAUGAAUCUAGUAGAGUAGCAGGAUACAAAAUUAAUGCACAGAAAUCUCUUGCAUUCCUAUACACUAAUGAUAUAAAAUCUGAAAGAGAAAUUAAGGAAACACUCCCAUUUACCAUUGCAACAAAAAGAAUAAAAUACCUAGGAAUAAACCUACCUAAGGAGACAAAAAACCUGUGUGCAGAAAAGUGUAAGACACUGAUGAAAGAAAUUCAAGAUGAUACCAACAGAUGGAGAGAUAUACCAUGUUCUUGGAUUGGAAGAAUUAGUAUUGUGAAAAUGACUGUUCUACCCAAAGCAAUCUAUAGAUUCAGUGCAACCCCUGUCAAAUUACCGAUGGCAUUUUUUACAGAACUAGAACAAAAAAUCUUAAAAUUUGUAUGGAGACACAAAAGACUCUGAACAGCCAGAGCAGUCUUGAGGGAAAAAAAAUGAAACUGGAGGAAUCAGACUCCCUGACUUCAGACUAUACUACAAAGCUACAGUAAUCAAGACAAGGUGGUACUGGCGCAAAAACAGAAAUAUAGAUCAAUGGAACAGGUUAGAAAGCCCAGAGAUAAACCCACACACCUAUGGUCAACUAAUCUAUGACAAAGGAGGCAAGGAUAUACAGUGGAGAAAAGAUAGUCUCUUCAAUAAGUGGUGCUGGGAAAACUGGACAGUUACAUGUAAAAGAAUGAAAUUAGAACACUCCCUAACACCAUACACAGAAAUAAACUUAAAAUGGAUUAGAGACCUAAAUGUAAGACUGGACACUAUAAAACUCUUAGAGGAAAACAUAGGAAGAACACUCUUUGACAUAAAUCACAGCAAGAUCAUUUUUGAUCCACCUCCUAGAAUAAUGGAAAUAAAACCAAAAAUAAACAAAUGGGACCUAAUGAAACUUAAAAAGUUCUGCAAAGCAAAGGAGACUACAAACAAGACGAAAAGACAACCCUCAGAAUGGGAGAAAAUAUUUGCAAACAAAUUAACGGACAAAGUAUAAACAGCUCAUGCAGCUCAAUAUUAAAAAAACAAACAACCCAAUCCAAAAAUGGGCAGAAGACCUAAAUAGAGAUUUCUCCAAAGAAGACAUACAGAUGGCCAAGAAACACAUGAAAAGCUGUUCAACAUCACUAAUUAUUAGAGAAAUGCAAAUCAAAACUACAAUGAGGUAUCACCUCACAUCAGAAAAUCUACAAACAACAAAUGCUGGAGAGGGUGUGGAGAAAAGGGAACCCUCUUGCACUGUUGGCGGGAAUGUAAAUUUAUACAGCCACUAUGGAGAACAGUAUGGAGGUUCCUUAAAAAACUAAAAGUAGAAUUACCAUAUGACCCAGUAAUCCCACUACUGGGCAUAUAUCCAGAGAAAACCAUAAUUCAAAAAGACACAUGCACCCCAAAGUUUAUUGCAGCACUAUUUACAAUAGCCCGGUCAUGGAAGCAACCUAAAUGCCCAUCAACAGACGAAUGGAUAAAGAAGUUGUGGUACAUAUAUACAAUGGAAUAUUACUCAGCCAUAAAAGGGAAUGAAAUUUGGUCAUUUGUAGAGACGUGGUUCGCUCUAGAGAUUGUCAUACAGAGUGAAGUAAGUCAGAAAGAGAAAAACAAAUAUCGUAUAUUAAUGCAUAUAUGUGGAACCUAGAAAAAUGGUACAGACGAACCGGUUUGCACGGCAGAGAUAGAGACACAGAUGUAGAGAACAAACGUAUGGACAACAAGGGUGGAAAGUGGCAGGGUGGGUGUGUUGAAUUGGGAGAUUGGAAUUGACAUGUAUACACUAAUAUGUAUAAAAUGGAUAACUAAUAAGAACCUGCUGUAUAAAAAAAUUAAAUAAAAUUCAAAAAAAAAUUAUGGCAGAUGGAAAGUAAGUGUUGAGAUUUAAGGAGAAAGAAGAUUGUUGUGAGCUUUAAUGAAAUGGGACAGCUUUGGGGAAGGGUGGACCUAGACUACUUCUUAAAGAUGGAGUAAAAAUUGGGUUAUUGAAGGAAGGAAGCCUCCCAGAGAGGAAGAAUAGUAUUUAAAAAGAGGCAUUGAGACAAUCACCAAACUCAUGUUAAGUAAUGUUAUCAUAAUAUUUCUGUCGGCGAUUACAUUUAAAAUAUCAAUGUGUGUGUGUAUAUAGAGAAAGAAAUCUGUUUGAAAAGUAAAAUUUAUAUAUAAUAUAUGUAAUCAGAGAUACAUAUGUUAUAUAUACAUAUGUGAGAUGUAUGACUUAUUUUUCCUUAUCCACAGAAUUCAGCUACCAUGUAUAUAUAAAUAAACUUAUUUUAUUAACCAGAAAAAAAAAAGGCAUAGAGAUAAAGAUUACAGUCAGUCAGUGAUCGGGAAGAAGUUGCGUCAGCCAUUCUUGUUCUAGAUGGGAGCCAAGUGUGUUGCUUGUCAAGAUUUUGCUGGUGGCCUCCUGCCCUGGAAUAGAACUGCUCGUACCCCUUGGAGCCUGUUUCGUGGCAAUGUCGUGGUGGCAUUACCUUGGUUUUGCAUUGGGGAGAGACGGCCAGUGACACCUACCUCCUGAGCCUGGGUGACUGCAAAGAAAGAUGGUUCUGUCAACUAAAUGGAGGGCAUGGAAAGCUUGUUUCACAUGAUUAACCCUUUAGUGGAGGUGGCACAGAUUCAUCCAGAUAAUUGGCCUUUUGAAUGUUUUUACACCACAGAAAUCCCUAGAAGAAUUUCAAGAUGU
Balaenoptera acutorostrata (minke whale) is the source of this 6417-nucleotide RNA transcript. It is a transcript of the gene named mitogen-activated protein kinase 8, with no coding region annotated. The transcript has 2 exons. The record is from RefSeq and is a predicted model, not a curated record. NCBI's taxonomy places the organism in Eukaryota, Metazoa, Chordata, Mammalia, Artiodactyla, Balaenopteridae.